RNAcentral lists this ribosomal RNA (444 nucleotides) under uncultured bacterium. RNAcentral's name for it is "SSU rRNA". It matches the Rfam family "Bacterial small subunit ribosomal RNA", at positions 26 to 518 of the family's 1533-position model. The record is from RNAcentral.
AGAACGAACGCUGGCGGCAGGCCUAAAACAUGCAAGUUGAACGCUCUAGCAAUAGAGAGUAGCGCACGGGUGCGUAACACGUGGGAAUAUGCCUUUUGGUACGGAACAACGUUUGGAAACGAACGCUAAUACCGUAUGGUCCCUUCGGGGUAAAGAUUUAUCGCCAAAAGAGUAGCCCGCGUCUGAUUAGCUAGUUGGUGAGGUAAUGGCUCACCAAGGCGACGAUCAGUAGCUGGUCUGAGAGGACGAUCAGCCACACUGGGACUGAGACACGGCCCAGACUCCUACGGGAGGCAGCAGUUAGGAAUCUUGGACAAUGGACGCAAGUCUGAUCCAGCCAUGCCGCGUGAGUGAUGAAGGCCUUCGGGUUGUAAGCUCUUUAGCCGAUGAAUAUAAUGACUGUAGUCGGAGAAUAAGCCCGGCUAACUUCGUGCCAGCAGCCGC